Molecule: ribosomal RNA, 446 nt
Filed under: uncultured bacterium
Lineage: Bacteria
Description: partial 16S ribosomal RNA
Rfam family: Bacterial small subunit ribosomal RNA
Source: RNAcentral
CCUACGGGGGACAGCAGUCGAGAAUCGUUCACAAUGGGGGAAACCCUGAUGGUGCGACGCCGCGUGGGGGAAUGAAGGUCUUCGGAUUGUAAACCCCUGUCAUGUGGGAGCAAAUUAAAAAGAUAGUACCACAAGAGGAAGAGACGGCUAACUCUGUGCCAGCAGCCGCGGUAAUACAGAGGUCUCAAGCGUUGUUCGGAAUCACUGGGCGUAAGGCGUGCGUAGGCUGUUUCGUAAGUCGUGUGUGAAAGGCGCGGGCUCAACCCGCGGACGGCACAUGAUACUGCGAGACUAGAGUAAUGGAGGGGGAACCGGAAUUCUCGGUGUAGCAGUGAAAUGCGUAGAUAUCGAGAGGAACACUCGUGGCGAAGGCGGGUUCCUGGACAUUAACUGACGCUGAGGCACGAAGGCCAGGGGAGCGAAAGGGAUUAGAUACCCCAGUAGUC